AUUGAACGCUGGCGGCAGGCCUAACACAUGCAAGUCGAGCGGUAGAGAGGUGCUUGCAUCUCUUGAGAGCGGCGGACGGGUGAGUAAUGCCUAGGAAUCUGCCUAGUGGUGGGGGAUAACGUUCGGAAACGGACGCUAAUACCGCAUACGUCCUACGGGAGAAAGCGGGGGAUCUUCGGACCUCGCGCCAUUAGAUGAGCCUAGGUCGGAUUAGCUAGUUGGUGAGGUAAUGGCUCACCAAGGCGACGAUCCGUAACUGGUCUGAGAGGAUGAUCAGUCACACUGGAACUGAGACACGGUCCAGACUCCUACGGGAGGCAGCAGUGGGGAAUAUUGGACAAUGGGCGAAAGCCUGAUCCAGCCAUGCCGCGUGUGUGAAGAAGGUCUUCGGAUUGUAAAGCACUUUAAGUUGGGAGGAAGGGUAGUAACCUAAUACGUUGCUACUUUGACGUUACCGACAGAAUAAGCACCGGCUAACUUCGUGCCAGCAGACC
RNAcentral lists this ribosomal RNA (494 nucleotides) under uncultured bacterium. RNAcentral describes it as "bacterial SSU rRNA". It matches the Rfam family "Bacterial small subunit ribosomal RNA", at positions 30 to 517 of the family's 1533-position model. The record is from RNAcentral.